ACGAACGCUGGCGGCGUGCCUAAUACAUGCAAGUAGAACGCACAGUUUAUACCGUAGCUUGCUACACCAUAAACUGUGAGUUGCGAACGGGUGAGUAACGCGUGGGUAACCUGCCUGGUAGCGGGGGAUAACUAUUGGAAACGAUAGCUAAUACCGCAUAAUAUUGAUUAUUGCAUGAUAAUUGAUUGAAAGAUGCUAUUGCAUCACUACCAGAUGGACCUGCGUUGUAUUAGCUAGUAGGUGAGGUAACGGCUCACCUAGGCGACGAUACAUAGCCGACCUGAGAGGGUGAUCGGCCACACUGGGACUGAGACACGGCCCAGACUCCUACGGGAGGCAGCAGUAGGGAAUCUUCGGCAAUGGACGAAAGUCUGACCGAGCAACGCCGCGUGAGUGAAGAAGGUUUUCGGAUCGUAAAGCUCUGUUGUAAGAGAAGAACGGGUGUGAGAGUGGAAAGUUCACACUGUGACGGUAUCUUACCAGAAAGGGACGGCUAACUACGUG
This 504-nucleotide ribosomal RNA is filed under the name uncultured bacterium. RNAcentral's name for it is "partial 16S ribosomal RNA". It matches the Rfam family "Bacterial small subunit ribosomal RNA", at positions 29 to 507 of the family's 1533-position model. The record is from RNAcentral.